RNAcentral lists this long non-coding RNA (462 nucleotides) under Ananas comosus (pineapple). RNAcentral describes it as "long non-coding RNA (ACOM_LNC007986)". The record is from RNAcentral. Lineage: Eukaryota; Viridiplantae; Streptophyta; Magnoliopsida; Poales; Bromeliaceae.
UAUUUUUUAAAUUAAAAUUUCAUCUUAAAUUUAAUGUUCAAACUUUAAAAAAUUAAUUUUUUAAAAUUAUAAAUUUGAGAUUUUAAAAUUUAAAUUUUAAUUUUAAUUUUUAAAUUAAAAGUUUAUAUUUUAAAUUUUAAAAUAUAAAUAUAAAAUAUAAAAGUUUAAAUUCUAAUAUACAGAAAAAGUUAAUAUCAUUAUUUUUUAUUUUUAACGACCAACUUUAAUUUUUAUUUCAUCUGACCUAACCAAACGCUAUUUUUCUUAUUCCCAGCAAUAACUCAAUUUUCAUCCAAACACAAAAUUGAUCUAAUCUUCACUUAUAUCUCAAUUUAUACUUAUCACCGGAAUAUCCACUUUUUGUUUAUCCCUGAACCAAACGAUACCUUAAAAUCCAGCUCAACUAGGUGCGUUUCAAAAAAAAGAUUUUCUUAGCUUCUCCAGCAAAAUAAAUAAAUUAUU